GGGGGGGGCAAGCGUUGUUCGGAAUUACUGGGCGUAAAGGGCUCGUAGGUGGCCAACUAAGUCAGACGCGAAAUCCCUCGGCUUAACCGGGGAACUGCGUCUGAUACUGGAUGGCUUGAGUUUGGGAGAGGGACGCGGAAUUCCAGGUGUAGCGGUGAAAUGCGUAGAUAUCUGGAGGAACACCGGUGGCGAAGGCGGCGUCCUGGACCAACACUGACACUGAGGAGCGAAAGCCAGGGGAGCAAACGGGAUUAGAUACCCCGGUAGUCCUGGCCCUAAACGAUGAAUGCUUGGUGUGGCGGGUAUCGAUCCCUGCCGUGCCGAAGCWAACGCAUUAAGCAUUCCGCCUGGGGAGUACGGUCGCAAGG
RNAcentral lists this ribosomal RNA (368 nucleotides) under uncultured bacterium. RNAcentral's name for it is "bacterial SSU rRNA". It matches the Rfam family "Bacterial small subunit ribosomal RNA", at positions 527 to 893 of the family's 1533-position model. The record is from RNAcentral.